Salvelinus namaycush (lake trout) is the source of this 1662-nucleotide long non-coding RNA. RefSeq lists it as uncharacterized. The record is from RefSeq and is a predicted model, not a curated record. NCBI's taxonomy places the organism in Eukaryota, Metazoa, Chordata, Actinopteri, Salmoniformes, Salmonidae. The transcript is spliced from 6 exons.
GGCCGUUGGGACAGAGCACCGGGCAACACAACAGCGCAGCUGGAAAAGAAUGACAGUUUCUCAAUGUACACAAAAAUAUAUAUAUUUGACUGCUAAGUGGUAGUCUCUGUUCUCCUGCAUUCUUGUUUUACUGCUGUACGUAAAGCGGUGGUUUGUUGGGGAAAAGAACGUCAAGGAAAGGUUCGCUACCUAGCUAACUUUAGCUAUCUAACAUUAUCUCUCUGGCUAAUCCUCCAUUGACAUGGAAUCUUCCCACAAGGCACACACUGGUUGAAUCAACGUUGUUUCCACAUCAUUGAAAUGAAAUUAUGUUGAACCAGCGUGGAAUAGACGUUGUAUUAACGUCUGUGCCCAGUGGAGUCCAGCUUGGAUAGAAGGAUAGAGGCGGUAACAAAGGAAAAGAGUACAGAAGUUAUCCAGCCUGCUGACUAAGACAUUUAAAUAGCCUAUGUUUUGCUGUCUAUCUCUCUCCAUCUGUCGGCCUGACUGCCAGAUUGCUGAGGGGCAACAUAGACUUAGCCUAGCAAGUACAUUGACUAACUUAGUGAAGACCUUAGGUAAUGGUUAAUCAUGAUUUGUCUCGGUCUUUAAAGUUCCUGAAACACGUCAAUGACCUGAUGCACGGCUUCUACAGCAGUGCUUGGCCACACACUGUUACCAGUGACCUAUUCUACUACAUCCCAGGGAUAGGAGAGAGCAGGCCAACCCCUCCUUAAACCCAUAGUCAUUGACAGUUUUGGGUGGAAAAUGUUUUUUUUUUCUCUAUUUGAUACUCUGAUAUUCAAUGUGUAUUGAUUCCUACUAAUCAGCUUUGUAAGAGCUAGGUUUGUACUAGCUAUGCUGAUGAUCGUUAAAAAAAAAUCAUUAAAUCACAGACUGGAUUCCCCAAGAGACAUGCUAUUCAGCUGCCCAUGAUUGCCUGAGUGCAAAACCGUUCUGAUUCAAGAGAUACCUACCUCUCUUGAUUGAUGACCAAUGAAUUAAUAUUCCACUUCAAUAUAAGGGCCAGAGGAGCAAGCAUGCCUUUGCUACCACUAGUGUGUGCUCUUCAUUGUAGUUGUAAGUGUCAUGAAAAGUCAGAACACUCAGGAGGUUGAUGUGUUACUCUGGAAAGUGUUGAUGUGUUACGGGCCCUCUGGAAAGUCCUAAAAUGUGCCCCUGACUGUCGUGGUGGAGGAGGACACAAAAUCUGAUCCAUCACACGACUCUUCAAGAGGACCACUACGCUCCAGAUCGCCUUCUGUCCUCAGAGGUCCUUCAUGAGGAUCUACCCCAUCACACCACUCUUAUUAAUCAAAUAAAAACAAUGAGCCUUUAUAUACUGUGUCCCAGUUUUUCUAUGCAUGUAAUGUUUGUGGGUGAAUUAUGAAACAAUUACUGUAUGCAGAUGUGCAAAAUGUUUUGAUGUAUAUUAGUUUUUGCCAUUGCUUGAUGUAUGUUGUAUAUUGAAACAUUUAAUUGGUGCCUAUAGAAAUGUAAUGAACCAUGUAUUCAAUAUCAAACUUCAUCCUCUGCAAUACUUUUUACUGUAGGUAAUAAGCUGUAAUCAGGUGGUCAUUCAGGUUGUGUUAUCUAUGACCAGUAUAUACAGUGCCUUCAGAAAGUAUUCAUAACUCUUGACUUUCCAUUUUGUUGUUAAAAUCCUCACCUAUCUACACACAG